GAUGAACGCUGGCGGCGUGCCUAAUACAUGCAAGUCGAGCGAACAGACGAGGAGCUUGCUCCUCUGACGUUAGCGGCGGACGGGUGAGUAACACGUGGAUAACCUACCUAUAAGACUGGGAUAACUUCGGGAAACCGGAGCUAAUACCGGAUAAUAUAUUGAACCGCAUGGUUCAAUAGUGAAAGACGGUUUUGCUGUCACUUAUAGAUGGAUCUGCGCCGCAUUAGCUAGUUGGUAAGGUAACGGCUUACCAAGGCGACGAUGCGUAGCCGACCUGAGAGGGUGAUCGGCCACACUGGAACUGAGACACGGUCCAGACUCCUACGGGAGGCAGCAGUAGGGAAUCUUCCGCAAAGGGCGAAAGCCUGACGGAGCAACGCCGCGUGAGUGAUGAAGGUCUUCGGAUCGUAAAACUCUGUUAUUAGGGAAGAACAAAUGUGUAAGUAACUAUGCACGUCUUGACGGUACCUAAUCAGAAAGCCACGGCUAACUACGUG
RNAcentral lists this ribosomal RNA (497 nucleotides) under uncultured bacterium. RNAcentral describes it as "partial 16S ribosomal RNA". It matches the Rfam family "Bacterial small subunit ribosomal RNA", at positions 28 to 507 of the family's 1533-position model. The record is from RNAcentral.